Molecule: long non-coding RNA, 5294 nt
Organism: Malurus melanocephalus (red-backed fairy wren)
Lineage: Eukaryota; Metazoa; Chordata; Aves; Passeriformes; Maluridae
Exons: 3
Source: RefSeq, a predicted model, not a curated record
AGGAGGCUCCACGGAAAGACUGUGGAAAUGUGGAAAGCAGGGAAAUGAAGAGGCACACGUCACUCGCAAGCUGAAAUGCAGAGAGGGUAGUAAGGAGAAGAAAGGAGCAGGGAGGCAGAGAUUUGGAAGCUUCAUAUCUGGAGGACUGGCCUCAAGAGCAAAGGAAAGAGUUUCCAUCCAAGGAUGUGUGAGAGAUCUCCUUGCUCGUCAAUCUGUGUUCUACCCUGAUAGUACUUUCCAGUGCAACUCUGCAACAGAUCAGAAGACAUAUUUGAAUCAGCUGGGGAUCUGGUUCCAAUUAGAGAUGACCCUGCAGAUUUUUCAGCUAGGAACUUUGUUAGUGAAUAUCCAUUUGCCAUCUACAAUUCCACCUAAGAGAGGRAAGAUUGCUCAUUUUCUGUGUGUCUGAGGUACAAKAAUCUACUUCAAAGAUGAUUACAACCUGAUGUUUACUGUGAUAAUAAAUUACAGUAGACCCUCAGGAAUGAAGGGAACAAAGCUACAAAGAAACUGGUCUGUAAGGGGCCCUGCAAAUAGAGCAUGUGGGUAUUGUGAUUCAUUUGGACACCUGAUGUUUUUAAAAGUUUGAGCUCAAGUAGGGUGGAUUUUCACUAGCAGAUGUAGGUGRAAUUUAUUAUCACCCUACUUUUAACAAAUAAAGAUCAAAGUAUCCCAGCUGUGGAGUAUUGAAAUGAGUGGGAGAUAGAAAGAAUAAGGAAUGGACAAUCUCUUCAGGAAGUUUUCCAAUUAGCUUGGAAGCCACCCUGCCUCCUUGAUGUUGGCAGCAUUUUUAAAUCACUUGCAAUUAGACCCAUUGGUGUCUGGUAAGUCCUUUCCCAUCAGGGAAGAUUAAGAAGGCUUAUGCAGGGCAUUAUCAUUCAAAGAAAGAGAGAAAAAAAAGAAAGCUGUAAAGGCUGGAGCAUUUAUUUGGAAAAGCUGAGAGGAGGAGGAAGUAUGGUGUCAAUGCAAAUAGUUACAAGAAGGUCCRAGAAGACCUUUCUAUUAUGAGCCUUGGUGAUACUGUCAGACCUUCUUAAAGAUCUUCAUUUUGGCAACUGAGUAAGGGGGAAAAAAAGGUGUAUGCAUGUGUGAGAUAGGAAGAAGGUAAUUUAUUUUUCCUUUAAAUGAAUACUCCAAUUAGAUGAAGAAUACGAAGCACAAAUUACAUCCUGACAGGUGGAAAGUAUUAUUUUUAAAGUAUCAUGACAUUUUCCAUUAGUAUGGCUAUAUUCAUACUGCUACCUUAAAUAGUGGAAAAAUAAAUGCAGUUGCAAUUAAAAUGAACUAGUGAUCAAGUGUAAGGAAGGCACAAAGUGAAAGGAAUUAUUUAUUAACUGCUUUAUCUGCUACAGCUCCUGGUAGGUUUUGAGGUGACUGAAUUCUUCCCAGAUGGUUAGGAGAUGAGGAUUUUAUUAUAUUCAAAAAGAAAUUUAAUGUCCUCAUAUUUUGCAGUGAGGUCUUAGGCUUUUGAUGCAUGUACCUGAACAGGAAAAUAAUUUGGAUUUUCUGGAUGUGCCUACUUCUCACAUGAGCCCCUCUAUCACUGUGACUACAGAUGACUGAAAUCAUCACUAAACCCCAUGAACCUGGCAAUGCAUUUUUUCUGUUUGCUAUGUGCAAUAUGUGCAUAAUGGAUAUUUUCAACCUGUUUCUAYCAAAACAUCUGUUCAUGGCAUCUAAAAAAAAAAAUAAAAACAGAUUCAACACCAAGGGACUAAYUUAUUAGGACAGAAUAACAAAUUAGCAUGAGUAAACUGUGGAGAAACUGAUCUAUCCUCUUACAUUUAGAGAUGGUACUUGCCCAGGAGGGCUUUCAGGUUAGGGUUCACUUUCUUGGCUUGGGAAUGAUGGUACCAUUAGUACCAUCAGUACAGUUAGGUAACUGUUCACAUCAGUUCAAAUACUUGUCUUGUUGACUCUGAARCUUUGCUCAAGAGGACCUGACCCCCUGACACCGGGGCAAGGUGCAGAUAAAGCAUGGGGGUUGGGGUUGCUUUUGAGACUCCAACACUGGGCAGAUAUUGCCACUAGUGGAUCAGAUGAAAAAGAACAUUUUUUUAUUCUGGCCACUAUGAGACACUUGAUAAAUUGUUUCAUUGUUUUUUUGCCUUGUUUCUCCCACAUACAAAGUAGGGAUGCAGCUCUUUUCAUAGCUUGUAGUACCUCUUCCUGACACUGACAGAAAAAUUACAGCUGUAAGUGCUAUCCCAACAUGGCUACGUAUGGAAGCAAAGCUACUCCCCAGCUCCUGCCAGUUGCUGAAGCAUCUCAGCACCAUUCUAUUGUCUGGAAAAGAAGUAAAGUUUAUACUUGUGAAAAGUAUAAACUGUGCUUCUGUAAAACCUGACUAAGCAACAUGAACAACACUUAAAAUACCAAAGAGAAAUUUGGUGUUGUGGUGACAAAUAGGAAAUGGAGAAAGAGAAGUAAAAUGAAAUAAAACACUUAGCAUUUUGUUUCCACAGAGCAGAGGGAAGUCGAGAUCCUAAAGGGCCAUCAUGGUGACUCUUCCUCUUUUCCUCCUCUUCAUCCUUUUGCCCUGCAGUAAAUCUCAGGAGGACUUUCUGGACCAGCAUCAAAAAUGGAACUACAGAGAAGGCGGUAGGAGGUCACAGUGGUGGGUCAGCAUGCGAGGUGUUCAGUAGCUCAGAGCUGCAGAUUCACUUAUUUUGUCCUUGGAGUGAGGUAGACAAUGCUCAUUCAUGACUGCUCUUUCUUGAUUCCUGGGUAGCUGCUGAGGCUUCUGGAGAAAAAAAAAUGGUUUUAGAAAUAAUCAGCUGGGGUAUCCAGUGAAAGCAAAAAACUUGGGUGCCUGGAGGCAGAGAAUUACACUAUGAGGGAGAGUUAUCUGCUUUCAAAUUUAGAUCCUCCAUGUAUUUAAUAUUUGGCAUUUCAUUGCAACUGAGCUGUGAUGGGAAAUGRAAUCAAACUCAGAGCACUGGCUCAUGUUUUCUUGUUCUGACACAUUUGUUUUCCUCUCUUCCAUGGGCAUCCUGCUAACCUAGCUGACAAGGUCAACAUAGAAGGUGUUAACAGCAUUACUCAAACCCUUGAGAAAUGGGGAAAUGAAAUCUUCUGGCAAAUGAAGCAUACCCUGCUGAACAACCCAAAUGCUCUACUGCCUGAGUUCUCUAGUCUCCGCCCUGUCUCUGCAGCUGUGGACAAUCUUGUGAGAGAAGUCCAGUCGAUAAGGAAAAGGCUGGAAGAGCUGAAUGAGCGCCUCAAURUCAUCAGCAGAACUGUCCUUCCCCUUCGACUGAAUGCUCUGCAAAGCCAGAGGCGUGGAAAUACUCAGCUGCGGAGACUCCCGGUGCAUAGGAGAAGGUUGUAUGCUCGCAGGAGACCACAGAGUACUUAAUUCUCUACCAGAAAAAAACAGGAUUUUUUUUUUUUCAUCAGCUUAAGCCUUUCUCAAUGGGACGCUGCUGGAGAGAAAAAAGUAAAGCACGCACAAGUCAGCUUUGCUAAGAAACCAGAACUUUYGUAUUUUGUGGCUACCUUCCAAACCUAGGUCAGUAGGUGAAACCUGCUUUGCGUCCCGAGCAAAAAAAGUUGACAAGCUCAGUCUAUCUGAGUGUGAAUACCUUUAGUCUAUACAGGCACUUUUCUGCUUACCAGAGGAAGCUCUUUCUAUAAAGAUCAGGUGAAUUUCUCUCUCUGCUCUAUUUUUAAAGCACCCCRUCUGAAACAGCUGGGGAAUUUGAAUUUCAAAUGUACUAAACAACUGAUGAAUGCAGGAAGAUGGAUUAGUGCUUGGCAAUUCCAGCUGGGCAGAGAGAGGAAGUUAUGUUUCAAAAUAUAAGUAACCUUAAGUAGCCUUAACCUAUUGUCCAUGUUCUGUGUUCAGAGGGUGGGUAGGGCUGGAUAAGCUUAGUCUGUACAUCAUGCUUCAAUACCGAAGAUAGGUCACUUUCUAGGGACCAAAUUUGAACAUCCACUUUCUGCAGAGAGUGUUUUUCUAGCUACUUGGAAGUGUGCACUCAGAAUGGUGUUAUUCAGUAGAUAUAUUCAGAAUUUCCACUAAUCUGAAACUGAUUUCUGCCAAGACCCAUGGAAAGCAGGGGAUUGUUUUUUCAGAACUAUUUAGAUACCUAAUAGCAAAGAUAGGUGUCCAGAAGGAUUUUCCAAAAUAGCUUAAGAGAUUCUUCAGUCCUUAAAAUCACAGAUAAUAAUUCAACUGGUGUCUAAUUCACAGAGUAUUUUCUCUACAUCAAGUACUGACCUCYAGACAUUUCCCAACAUCCUUUGGCACAAUUAAGAUCUGUAGAAAAUUAACAGCCGUGCUCUCCAAAGACUUUGGUCCCUUGGGGAUUACCCAGAAUACCCUGCCUACAGCUUGUCUUUGCCUCUGUCUUCCUGACAAUAAAGCUGGUGAUAAAAAAGAGUGCAUAAAUCAAAUUAUGCGCUGAACAGAAGAUAGAGUGGGUUUGCCCUUCAGGUCUCUAAAGAUAAAUCCAACACAGAGAUUUCCAUUCAGCAUUGCAGUCAACUGUGUACAUGAAAUGUGUUGAAACGUAAGAAGGAGAGCCWGAGAGGAAAAGAAACUGGUUUUAUUAAAGGUCUGGAUGAAGCAAUUUAUGAGAACACAAAUAAAGAAUGGAUUAUAUCUAAAUGAGUGUGGGGGUGUCUGGCAUGACAGUUGUUUUGAAAACACUCUCCAGUCACAGUGAGGAUGCUGACUAGCUAUUUAAGGAUUCCCAAAGCCUGAGUUUAUGAAAAGAAAUUCAGUGACAUUACAAUAACCUCCAAAAGGAAAGGGGAAAAACUAGUUUUAUAUGAAAUCUUUCAGAAUGGACCAGAAGAAUUAACACAGUAGGAAUUUUGGCUGCAACCUGGGAGUCAGUUGAGUGGAGGGGGUAUGAGCAGUGUAUGAGACAAUCUGAUAAAUAUUUCCCAGAUGUAAAUUCUCUGAGUUCAGGUUUUGAGAAAAUAACAAAACUGUAACUUGGCUCUCCUUGGCUUUUGCUUGGGAAUUUGAAACACAGCUUAGCUAGAGAAGGGAAAAAUCAAGACUGUGAAAACGCUGAUAAAAGGAUACAGUUGUGCCUUUGUUGAACUUGUCAUCAUAAUUUCUCAGGAAAUGUAUUUUGAUCCUAGAAUAUAUUAACAUAAAUUACAAGGAAUAACAGGAGAGAAAGGCCUCUAACUUCUUGUUAUUCUGCAUUCAGAGUUUCUAGGCUGUGCUGUAGCAACAGCUGCAUGCUUGCACAGACUGCUGAUUCCUCCAAGGGAUGCUUUGCUCGGGGCUGUGAGGACUGCUGGUUUUUUUUGGCCUCUCUGGAGGAAGAAUAUAA